Molecule: ribosomal RNA, 309 nt
Filed under: Triticum aestivum (bread wheat)
Lineage: Eukaryota; Viridiplantae; Streptophyta; Magnoliopsida; Poales; Poaceae
Description: partial small subunit ribosomal RNA
Source: RNAcentral
AUGGCCAUUGAGAGAUGGAGACCAUAUGUAUGCAGAGGCCCGUUUGUGAUCAAGACAGACCACAAGAGUUUGUGUCACUUGGAAACUCAAGCUAUUACUUCAGAUCUCCAGAGGAAAGCCAUGACUAAGUUGAUUGGCCUUCAGUUUCAGUUCCAGUACAAGAAGGGAGAAGAUAAUAAAGCAGCUGAUGCUCUGUCCAGGGUAGGGCAUGUAUUUGCCUUGCCUGCAGUUUCUUCAAGUCAGCCGGUCUGGAUUCAGGAAAUUCUCAACUCAUAUGAGAUUGACUGCAAAGCUCAACACCUCUUGUAG